ACGCUCGACACCUACGGAGGCAGCAGUGGGGAAUAUUGGGCAAUGGGCGCAAGCCUGACCCAGCAACGCCGCGUGAAGGAUGAAGGCUUUCGGGUUGUAAACUUCUUUUAUCAGGGACGAAACAAAUGACGGUACCUGAUGAAUAAGCCACGGCUAACUACGUGCCAACAGCCGCGGUAAUCUGAGCGGGCUGGCAAGGC
Molecule: ribosomal RNA, 200 nt
Filed under: uncultured bacterium
Lineage: Bacteria
Description: partial 16S ribosomal RNA
Rfam family: Bacterial small subunit ribosomal RNA
Source: RNAcentral